This 428-nucleotide ribosomal RNA is filed under the name Glyptophysa sp. 5 PGA-2018. Its description in RNAcentral is "partial large subunit ribosomal RNA". It matches the Rfam family "Archaeal large subunit ribosomal RNA", at positions 1908 to 2665 of the family's 2987-position model. The record is from RNAcentral. Lineage: Eukaryota; Metazoa; Mollusca; Gastropoda; Planorbidae.
AGUUUAAAGUAAUAAUUUUAAAUGUAUCCUGCCCAGUGUAUUUAUAAAUGGCCGCAGUACCCUGACUGUGCAAAGGUAGCAUAAUCAAUUGGCUUUUAAUUAAAGUCUGGAAUGAAAGGAUUAAUGAAAAAAGACUGUCUUAAAGAUAUUUUAUUUAAUUUAUUUAUUAGGUGAAAAUACCUAAUUUUUUUGAAAAAAGACGAGAAGACCCUUAGAAUUUUGAUAAUAUAGUUUAAACUAUUUAUUUUUGUUGGGGCGACAACUAAGCAUUUAAACCUUAGGUUUUUAUAAAACGAAAAUGUUAUAAAAGAUUAAAUUACCUUAGGGAUAACAGCAUUAUUUAUAAAAGUUUGUGACCUCGAUGUUGGACUAGGAACUUUAUGACUAGCAGUUUAAAAAGAUUUGUUCUGUUCGAACAAUUAAAUCCU